AGUGAGCGCUGGCGGUAGGCCUAACACAUGCAAGUCGAACGGCAGCACAGUAAGAGCUUGCUCUUACGGGUGGCGAGUGGCGGACGGGUGAGGAAUACAUCGGAAUCUACUUUUUCGUGGGGGAUAACGUAGGGAAACUUACGCUAAUACCGCAUACGACCUACGGGUGAAAGCAGGGGAUCUUCGGACCUUGCGCGAUUGAAUGAGCCGAUGUCGGAUUAGCUAGUUGGCGGGGUAAAGGCCCACCAAGGCGACGAUCCGUAGCUGGUCUGAGAGGAUGAUCAGCCACACUGGAACUUAGACACGGUCCAGACUCCUACGGGAGGCAGCAGUGGGGAAUAUUGGACAAUGGGCGCAAGCCUGAUCCAGCCAUACCGCGUGGGUGAAGAAGGCCUUCGGUUUGUAAAGCCCUUUUGUUGGGAAAGAAAAGCAGCAGGUUAAUACCCCGCUGUUCUGACGGUACCCAAAGAAUAAGCACCGGCUAACUUCGUG
RNAcentral lists this ribosomal RNA (492 nucleotides) under uncultured bacterium. RNAcentral's name for it is "partial 16S ribosomal RNA". It matches the Rfam family "Bacterial small subunit ribosomal RNA", at positions 29 to 507 of the family's 1533-position model. The record is from RNAcentral.